GAUGAACGCUGGCGGCGUGCCUAACACAUGCAAGUCGAACGGAGAUUACGGACGGAAGUUUUCGGAUGGAAGACUGUAAUUCUUAGUGGCGGACGGGUGAGUAACGCGUGGGCAACCUGCCUUAUACAGGGGGAUAGCAGCUGGAAACGGCUGGUAAGACCGCAUAAGUCGGCGAGACCGCAUGGUUUUGCCGGGAAAUGAGCAAUCAGGUAUAGGAUGGGCCCGCGUCCGAUUAGCCAGUGGGCAGGGUAAAAGCCUACCAAAGCAACGAUCGGUAGCCGGGCUGAGAGGUCGGACGGCCACAUUGGGACUGGGCCACGGCCCAAACUCCUACGGGAGGCAGCAGUGGGGGAUAUUGCACAAUGGAGGAAACUCUGAUGCAGCGACGCCGCGUGAGUGAAGAAGUAUUUCGGUAUGUAAAGCUCUAUCAGCAGGGAAGAUGAUGACGGUACCUGACUAAGAAGCCCCGGCUAACUACGUG
This 481-nucleotide ribosomal RNA is filed under the name uncultured bacterium. RNAcentral's name for it is "partial 16S ribosomal RNA". It matches the Rfam family "Bacterial small subunit ribosomal RNA", at positions 28 to 507 of the family's 1533-position model. The record is from RNAcentral.